This 109-nucleotide ribosomal RNA is filed under the name Phocaeicola plebeius. Its description in RNAcentral is "partial 23S ribosomal RNA". It matches the Rfam family "Bacterial large subunit ribosomal RNA", at positions 2801 to 2925 of the family's 2925-position model. The record is from RNAcentral. Lineage: Bacteria; Pseudomonadati; Bacteroidota; Bacteroidia; Bacteroidales; Bacteroidaceae.
AAGAUUAGAUUUCUUGAGGGUCGUUGAAGACGACAACGUUGAUAGGAUGCAGGUGUAAAGCUGGAGACAGCAAAGCCGAGCAUUACUAAUUGCCCGUCAGCUUUCCUUA